CGUGUAGGCGGAUUUGCAAGUCAGAUGUGAAAUCCGGUGCUUAACCACCGGCGUGCAUCUGAUACUGCUGAUCUUGAGUACGGAAGAGGAGAGUGGAAUUCCAGGUGUAGCGGUGACAUGCGUAGAUAUCUGGAAGAACACCGGUGGCGAAGGCGGCUCUCUGGUCCGAUACUGACGCUGAGGCGCGAAAGCUAGGGGAGCAAACAGGAUUAGAUACCCUGGUAGUCC
This 228-nucleotide ribosomal RNA is filed under the name uncultured bacterium. Its description in RNAcentral is "partial 16S ribosomal RNA". It matches the Rfam family "Bacterial small subunit ribosomal RNA", at positions 568 to 796 of the family's 1533-position model. The record is from RNAcentral.